RNAcentral lists this ribosomal RNA (243 nucleotides) under Chrysomya megacephala (oriental latrine fly). RNAcentral's name for it is "partial 28S ribosomal RNA". It matches the Rfam family "Eukaryotic large subunit ribosomal RNA", at positions 134 to 364 of the family's 3401-position model. Lineage: Eukaryota; Metazoa; Arthropoda; Insecta; Diptera; Calliphoridae. The record is from RNAcentral.
CAAUGUGAGAUGCAGUGUAUGGAAUGUCAAAUUUCUAGUAUGAGAAAUUAACGAUUUAAGUCCUUCUUAAAUGAGGCCAUUUACCCAAAGAGGGUGCCAGGCCCGUAUAACGUUAAUGAUUACUAGAUGGCAUUUCCAAAGAGUCGUGUUGCUUGAUAGUGCAGCACUAAGUGGGUGGUAAACUCCAUCUAAAACUAAAUAUAACCAUGAGACCGAUAGUAAACAAGUACCGUGAGGGAAAGU